RNAcentral lists this ribosomal RNA (459 nucleotides) under uncultured bacterium. RNAcentral's name for it is "partial 16S ribosomal RNA". It matches the Rfam family "Bacterial small subunit ribosomal RNA", at positions 28 to 523 of the family's 1533-position model. The record is from RNAcentral.
GACGAACGCUGGCGGUGUGCUUAAUACAUGCAAGUCGAACGGCUCUUCGGAGCAGUGGCGGACGGCUGAGUAACGCGUAGGUAACGUGCCUCUUACUGGGGGAUAACAUCGGGAAACUGGUGCUAAUACCGCAUAAGUCACGAGUUGAAAUACUUGUGAUUAAAGAAUUUCGGUAAGAGAUCGGCCUGCGUCUGAUUAGCUAGUUGGUAGGGUAAUGGCCUACCAAGGCGAUGAUCAGUAGUUGGUCUGAGAGGAUGACCAGCCAGAGUGGGACUGAGAACGGCCCACACUUCUACGGAAGGCAGCAGUAGGGAAUUUUGCGCAAUGGGCGAAAGCCUGACGCAGCAACACCGCGUGCGGGAUGAAGGCCUUCGGGUCGUAAACCGCUGUCGGCAGGGAAUAAAUUGACUGUACCUGCAAAGGAAGCACCGGCUAACUACGUGCCAGCCGCCGCAGUAA